AAUUUGUAUGCAGCAUAAUUUGAUAAUGAGAUUUUUGCAUCGCCAUUUUCCAACUACCGAUGCUUAUCUUUAUAAGGCACGAGCUGGGGUUAGAGAGAUUCACUUCCUCCCCUUCAAUCCAACUGACAAAAGGACUGCCCUGACAUAUUUGGAUGCCAAUGGCAAAAUGCAUAGAGUUAGCAAAGGUGCACCAGAACAGGUACAAAAUCAGAACCUUCCAAACAGACACAGGCUCUCACUUUUAUUCUAUCAAGACAUCUGAACUCUUCGUGGCGUAAUUUGCAUUGCAAUACUCAGAUUCUCAACCUGGCAUAUAACAAAUCAGAAAUCGCCAGUAAGGUUCAUGCGAUCAUCGACAAAUUUGCAGAACGCGGAUUGAGAUCCCUUGGAGUUGCCCACCAGGUGAAUUACCAUCUAUGAUCCAAAUAAAAGAACACAAUUUCCAUGCUAGUCAUUCUGAAUCAAUGGAACAACUCACUCUGAUUGCAGCAAGUUCCUAACGGGGAUAAGGACAGCACAGGUGGACCAUGGGAAUUUGUUGGCCUCCUACCCCUCUUCGACCCUCCUCGUCAUGACAGUG
Molecule: long non-coding RNA, 580 nt
Filed under: Linum usitatissimum (flax)
Lineage: Eukaryota; Viridiplantae; Streptophyta; Magnoliopsida; Malpighiales; Linaceae
Description: long non-coding RNA (LUSI_LNC007429)
Source: RNAcentral